This 466-nucleotide ribosomal RNA is filed under the name uncultured Rhodocyclaceae bacterium. RNAcentral describes it as "bacterial SSU rRNA". It matches the Rfam family "Bacterial small subunit ribosomal RNA", at positions 916 to 1381 of the family's 1533-position model. Lineage: Bacteria; Pseudomonadati; Pseudomonadota; Betaproteobacteria; Rhodocyclales; Rhodocyclaceae. The record is from RNAcentral.
AGACGGGACCCGCACAAGCGGUGGAUGAUGUGGAUUAAUCGAUGCAACGACGAAAACCUUACCUACCCUUGACAUGUCUGGAACCUUGCUGAGAGGCGAGGUGCUUCGGAGCCAGAACACAGGUGCUGCAUGGCUGUCGUCAGCUCGUGUCGUGAGAUGUUGGGUUAAGUCCCGCAACGAGCGCAACCCUUGUCAUUAGUUGCCAUCAUUUAGUUGGGCACUCUAAUGAGACUGCCGGUGACAAACCGGAGGAAAGGUGGGGAUGACGUCAAGUCCUCAUGGCCCUUAUGGGUAGGGCUUCACACGUCAUACAAUGGUCGGUACAGAGGGUUGCCAAGCCGCGAGGUGGAGCCAAUCCCUUAAAGCCGAUCGUAGUCCGGAUCGUAGUCUGCAACUCGACUGCGUGAAGUCGGAAUCGCUAGUAAUCGUGGAUCAGCAUGUCACGGUGAGUACGUUCCCGGGUCUU